UAGCGGAGGAAAAGAAACUAACAAGGAUUCCCCUAGUAACGGCGAGUGAACCGGGAAGAGCUCAAAUUUGAAAUCUGGCGUCCUUCGGGCGUCCGAGUUGUAAUCUAUAGAAACGUUUUCCGUGCCGGACCGUGUCCAAGUCCCUUGGAACAGGGUAUCAGAGAGGGUGACAAUCCCGUACUUGACACGACGACCGGUGCUCUGUGAUACGUUCUCUACGAGUCGAGUUGUUUGGGAAUGCAGCUCAAAAUGGGUGGUAAACUCCAUCUAAAGCUAAAUAUUGGUGGGAGACCGAUAGCGAACAAGUACCGUGAGGGAAAGAUGAAAAGCACUUUGGAAAGAGAGUUAAACAGUAUGUGAAAUUGUUGAAAGGGAAACGAUUGAAGUCAGUCGUGACCGUUGGGUUCAGCCGGUUCUGCCGGUCUACUCCCUUCGGUCGGGUCAACAUCGGUUUUGACCGGCGGAUAAGGAAGGGAGGAAUGUGGCACCCUCCGGGGUGUGUUAUAGCCUCUCGUCGCAUACGUCGGUCGAGACCGAGGAACGCAGCUCGCCUUUAUGGCCGGGGUUCGCCCACGUCCGAGCUUAGGAUGUUGACAUAAUGGCUUUAAACGACCCGUCUUGAAAC
Molecule: ribosomal RNA, 625 nt
Filed under: Kwoniella heveanensis
Lineage: Eukaryota; Fungi; Basidiomycota; Tremellomycetes; Tremellales; Cryptococcaceae
Description: LSU rRNA
Rfam family: Eukaryotic large subunit ribosomal RNA
Source: RNAcentral